Molecule: unclassified non-coding RNA, 398 nt
Filed under: fungal sp.
Lineage: Eukaryota; Fungi
Description: partial internal transcribed spacer region
Rfam family: Eukaryotic small subunit ribosomal RNA (bases 1-46)
Source: RNAcentral
AAGUCGUAACAAGGUUUCCGUAGGUGAACCUGCGGAAGGAUCAUUAACACGUAUCCAAACGUUAAACCCCCCUGUGAACCUUCACCUGUACUCGUACGUCCGUUAGAAAAAGCAGCAAUCCCUGGUAAAUCAUCGCCGAACAGUUUUCGAUUCAGGGAUGUCUGCAAGGAGCGUGCAUGUUGUGCGAGCAAGUGGCCUGGCAUCCCCAAGCAGUUAGUGUCUGAAAGUGUCAUUAACUUUGUAAGGAUGACGCAGUCACGAUCGUUGGAGGCCCACACGGCCGACGACCGGGUCACUGGGCGCAAGCCCCCCUAUAACAAACGCUGCUAAUCGCGGCCGCGAUAAUACGCAGUCGACCAAAAACCGAACAACUGUUAACAAUGGAUAUCUUGGUUCUC